AGUGGUAGAGCUGGGUCACAUGGUGGUUCCAUUCCAAGUUUUCUAAGUAAACUUUAUACUGCUUUCCAGAUUGGUUGCACCAAUUUGUAGUCCCACCAGCAAU
Molecule: microRNA precursor, 103 nt
Filed under: Marmota monax (woodchuck)
Lineage: Eukaryota; Metazoa; Chordata; Mammalia; Rodentia; Sciuridae
Source: RNAcentral